This is a long non-coding RNA of Lathyrus oleraceus (garden pea), 1854 nucleotides long. RefSeq lists it as uncharacterized. Lineage: Eukaryota; Viridiplantae; Streptophyta; Magnoliopsida; Fabales; Fabaceae. The record is from RefSeq and is a predicted model, not a curated record. The transcript has 3 exons.
ACGAUUUUGAAAGUUUGACCAAACCAGAUUUAUCUCCGAUUCCUGGUCCAACCGGUUGAACCGGUUGAUUCGGUCUGGUUUUUAAAACACUGUCUAAAAUGAAAAUUUGAAUUUAAAAAUAAAAUAAAAGAUGUUUAAAUGCAUCUUUUUAAUAAUUUAAAAUAUUUUUUUAUAUUUUUUUGUCUAUCACUCUUUGCUUAUCCCCUUUGUUUUAUGAAAGACAAAAUGAUUCUGCAUAUAUUCUUAAUCAAUUUAGAUGCCACUCAUCAAAACAAGGCCACCAAUAUAAUAAAGUGUUUUUAAUAGGUAUGUGUAUUUUGUUUUUCACCAUUAAAUUUUUAUAUUUUAUAAUGUAUAUACUUAUUAUCCAUUUUUUAUUACUUUUUCAUGAACAUGUAGGAAACAAAGAGAGUUUGAAGGUGGAGGGGGAAGUCGGGUAUGAUGAUCUUUACGACCAAGUCUUGGAGUUCUACCGUAGUAAAUACUGCAGAAAGGUGAUGAAGUUAGUAGAUAUAGGAGGAGGUAGGUUUUUAUACUAGAUCUAUUAAAGUUUCAUUCUUACCAAUUCAUCACGUUGUAUAUUUAAAAUUAUCAUAUUUAGUACAUAAUGAACAUAUAUAUUGUCCUUACUAAGAUUCUUGUAUACAGAGCCUACUCAAAUUCUUCAACGUUGGGUUGAAAGUUUUUUCAACUCUAUUAAAAAGUGUGACGUGAAAUAGUUUCGAAAACAAGUAUACAGAGCCUAUUUAUAAUUUUUUUUUUUAAAUUACCAAUUUGAUGAAUUUUUUUUGAACAGUACGAUUUUAUAAUAAUCGGCUCCGAUUAUUUGGUUCGAAUUGUUUUGGAAGGUUCAAUCCGUUUUUUUUUGUUUUACUCCGAUUUUGACCCAUUAACGAUUUUGAAAGGUUGACCAUACCAGAUUUAUCUCCGAUUCCAGGUCCAACCGGUUGAACCGGCUGAUUCGGUCUGGUUUAUAAAACACUGUCUAAAAUGAAAAUUUGAAUUUAAAAAUAAAAUAAAAGAUGUUUAAAUGCAUCUUUUUAAUAAUUUAAAAGAUUUUUUUAUAUUUUUUUGUCUAUCACUCUUUGCUUAUCCCCUUUGUUUUAUGAAAGACAAAAUGAUUCGGCAUAUAUUCUUAAUCAAUUUAGAUGCCACUCAUCAAAACAAGGCCACCAAUAUAAUAAAGUGUUUUUAAUAGGUAUGUGUAUUUUGUUUUUCACCAUUAAAUUUUUAUAUUGUAUAAUGUAUAUACUUAUUAUCCAUUUUUUAUUACUUUUUCAUGAACAUGUAGGAAACAAAGAGAGUUUGAAGGUGGAGGGGGAAGUCGGGUAUGAUGAUCUUUACGACCAAGUCUUGGAGUUCUACCGUAGUAAAUACUGCAGAAAGGUGAUGAAGUUAGUAGAUAUAGGAGGAGGUAGGUUUUUAUACUAGAUCUAUUAAAGUUUCAUUCUUACCAAUUCAUCACGUUGUAUAUUUAAAAUUAUCAUAUUUAGUACAUAAUGAACAUAUAUAUUGUCCUUACUAAGAUUCUUGUAUACAGAGCCUACUCAAAUUCUUCAACGUUGGGUUGAAAGUUUUUUCAACUCUAUUAAAAAGUGUGACGUGAAAUAGUUUCGAAAACAAGUAUACAGAGCCUAUUUAUAUUUUUUUUUUUAAAUUAUCAAUUUGAUGUUUUUUUUUUGAACCGUACGAAUUUAUAAUAAUCGGCUCCGGUUAUUUGGUUCGAAUGGUUUUGGAAGGUUCAAUCCGUUUUUGUUUUUGUUUUACUCCGAUUUUGACCCAUUAACGAUUUUGAAAGUUUGACCAAACCAGAUUUAUCUCCGAUUCCUGGUCCAACCGGUUGAACCGGCUGAU